CCUACGGGUGGCAGCAGUGGGGAAUAUUGCGCAAUGGGCGAAAGCCUGACGCAGCGACGCCGCGUGAGGGAUGAAGGUCUUCGGAUCGGAAACCUCUGUCAGCAGGGAAGAACGGUCACUGUGCUAAUCAGCAGUGAAUUGACGGUACCUGCAAAGGAAGCACCGGCUAACUCCGUGCCAGCAGCCGCGGUAAUACGGAGGGUGCGGGCGUUGAUCGGAAUUACUGGGCGUAAAGCGGUCGUAGGCGGUAUGGCAAGUCAAGGGUGAAAUCCCCGCGCUCAACGUGGGAACUGCCUCUGAAACUGGCAAACUGGAGGGGGUGAGAGGAUAGUGGAAUUCCAGGUGUAGGAGUGAAAUCCGUAGAUAUCUGGAGGAACAUCAGUGGCGAAGGCGACUAUCUGGCACAUAACUGACGCUGAGGAGCGAAAGCGUGGGUAGCAAACAGGAUUAGAUACCCGUGUAGUC
Molecule: ribosomal RNA, 465 nt
Filed under: uncultured bacterium
Lineage: Bacteria
Description: partial 16S ribosomal RNA
Rfam family: Bacterial small subunit ribosomal RNA
Source: RNAcentral